Molecule: long non-coding RNA, 995 nt
Organism: Solanum pennellii
Lineage: Eukaryota; Viridiplantae; Streptophyta; Magnoliopsida; Solanales; Solanaceae
Exons: 4
Source: RefSeq, a predicted model, not a curated record
UGCACCCUUUUGAUUCUCGAUCUUAAUUUUCAAAUUUUUCUUUAGGAUGGCUUAGAGUUGGAUUUGUUGAAAAUACUUGGGAUCUAGAGAGUUCCGUCUAGAGGUUCCAUUUGAGAUUGCCUAUUUUGGAGGUUAUUUAGCCCCAUUUUUUUUUCUCUUGAUUUUGAUUUGAAAUUGAUUCUCGAUCUCAAUUUUCAAGAUUUUCUUUAGGAUGCUUUAGAGUUGGAUUUGUUGAAAAUAUUUGGGAUCUAGAGAGUUACUUCUCGAGGUUUCAUUUAAUAUUUCUUAUUCUGGAGUUGAUCGAGACCCAUUUUUUUCUUUUUUUUGCUUCGCAAUUAAUUUCUCUAUCACAUUUCCUUGCAACUCUUAACCUUUUUUUGGUGUUUUUUCUUGUUGUAUUUCUAUUUGUUUGUUUCUUCUUAUUCAUUUGUUUAUUUCUCCAUGUUGAUUCCCAAUCUCGUUUUUCAAGCUCUUCUUUAGGUUGUUUUAAAGUGGAUUUGUUAAAAAUAUUUGGAAUUUGGAGAGUUUCAUUUAGAGGUUCUAUUUGAAGCUGAUCUAGAAUCCUCUAAUUUUUUCUUGAUACUGGUUAGCAAUUAAGUCCUCUAUUCACAUUUUUUCGUGCCAGCUAUGAUUCAUUUUCGAUGAUGUUCUCUUUGGGAUGCUUGGUUAGCAAUUAAUUCCUCUACUCACAUUUUCCCCUAGCUGCUACGAUUCGUUGUUGAUGUUGUUCUCCCCGUGAUGCCUGGACGCUUUAGAGUUGGAUCUACUGAAAAUAUUUGGGAUCUCGAGAGUUUCGUGUAGACGUUCCAUUUGAGAUUUCCUAUUUUGUAGCUGAUUUAGCCUCCUGUUUUUUUUUUAAAUUCUGGUUGAUUGUGUUUUGUUCGGUUAGCUCGGAAUUCAGAUAUGGCAAUCUUGAUUUUCAAAGGUUUCACUUGUAUUCUUGACUUCCAACAAGUAUAUAUUUCCCCCCUUUCUCUUGCCAUUUUAAGAUAUUA